UAGUCCACACCGUAAACGAUGAAUGCCAGUCGUCGGGUAGUAUACUAUUCGGUGACACACCUAACGGAUUAAGCAUUCCGCCUGGGGAGUACGGUCGCAAGAUUAAAACUCAAAGGAAUUGACGGGGCCCGCACAAGCGGUGGAGCAUGUGGUUUAAUUCGAUGCAACGCGAAAAACCUUACCUACCCUUGACAUCAUUGGAACUUGUUAGAGAUAACUUGGUGCCUUCGGGAACCAAUAGACAGGUGCUGCAUGGCUGUCGUCAGCUCGUGUCGUGAGAUGUUCGGUUAAGUCCGGCAACGAGCGCAACCCACAUCCUUAGUUGCCAGCAGUUCGGCUGGGCACUCUAGGGAAACUGCCCGUGAUAAGCGGGAGGAAGGUGUGGGAUGACGUCAAGUUCUCAUGGCCCUUACGGGGUUGGGGCUACACACGUGCUACAAUGGGCAGUGACAAUGGGGUUAAUCCCAAAAAGCUGUCUCAGUUCGGGAUUGGGGGUCUGGCAACUCGACCCCAUGAAGUCGGGAA
This 525-nucleotide ribosomal RNA is filed under the name uncultured bacterium. RNAcentral describes it as "bacterial SSU rRNA". It matches the Rfam family "Bacterial small subunit ribosomal RNA", at positions 791 to 1331 of the family's 1533-position model. The record is from RNAcentral.